Oncorhynchus kisutch (coho salmon) is the source of this 2755-nucleotide RNA transcript. It is a transcript of the gene named golgin A7, with no coding region annotated. Lineage: Eukaryota; Metazoa; Chordata; Actinopteri; Salmoniformes; Salmonidae. The record is from RefSeq and is a predicted model, not a curated record. The transcript is spliced from 5 exons.
UAAUAUUGGGUAGGAUUUAGACCUUCACUGUCUCUGUUCCACACUUCAGUCCAUUUGGUGGUGAUAAUGCACCGUAAAGUUGGGAGCCAACCACCAUAUAAACGCCACAGAAGGAAAAAGACGAGUGGCAGCGUACUCAUUGAAGCGUUCAGUCUGGGCGGAAGUACUACCCGAAGAAGCUAGCUGAAAGGAAAACGUCCACUAUGGCUGAGGCGCACAACUUGCAGGACCUACAACAUCAAGCAGCCCUCGCCUCCAAAGUGUAUGUCCAGAGGGACUACAACUCGGGUACAAUCUGCAGGUUCCAGACCAAGUUUCCCUCUGAGCUGGAGUCUAGGGUUGACAGGCAACAGUUUGAGGAGACGAUGCAGACGCUCAACAACCUCUAUGCUGAGGCUGAGAAAAUUGGUGGCAAGUCUUACCUGGAGGGCUGCUUGGCCUGCAUGACCGCCUACACGAUCUUCCUCUGUAUGGAGACCCAUUAUGAGAAAGUAUUGAAGAAGAUCGCUAGGUUCAUCAAGGAGCAGAAUGAGAAGAUCUACGCUCCUCUGGGACUGCUGCUUACGGACCCAAUAGAGAGAGGUCUCAGGGUUGUAUCCUUUACUGUCCCAGAGGCUCACACUAACAAAGGUUUCUUCCCAAAUGCCACCAUAAUCCCUUUAUAUUUUCCUUUGGCUCUGGUUAAAAGUAGUGCACUGUAAAAGGAGCAGGAUGCCAUUUGGGAUGCAUACCUAGACCUUUCUUGUGUAACUGUCUUGCAUUUCUUGCUGGAUCCCAGCUUCCUUAACUAACCCCUCCCCAGGUUGAAAUCACCAUCUUUGAGGAUCGAAGCAUUAGCUCCGGAAGAUAAACCACACCAAAGGAUGGCCUAUUUCACCUGGUGCUUCCCAAUUGUCUCACCACACCAUCAAUGAUUCCUUAUGGAUGUACAAUUAGAUAUAAUUGUUUUUAUUUAUUUCACAUACGAGAUGGGAAAUGUGCGCUAGUAGCCUAUAUUCCAGAGAGACCAACACUCCCUGUUUUUACAUGUUUAUUGAGCUGAUUCAUUUUAACGUGAAAAGUCUUAUUCUAGUUAAGCAAGACCACACCUUUAGUAUGAAGGGUGCCAUUUUGUUUUAUAUUGCCAUUUUUUAACCCUUACUCGUAAUUAAAGGUGCACUGUGUAAUAGGUCAAUGCAAAUAGCCCUUAAAGGUAUAUUUCACCCACAGUUUUUAAACCUGUGUUUUAAAAUAUCCUCUCUGCUUCACCAAAAUGUACAUAAUUAGUCAAAUGGUUCCUUAACUUGACAGUAGUCUAUGGGCCAGGAGAAACUGUAAUCCGCCACAAUUCAGAUGUUUACUUUAGCAAAUACAAUGAGAGGGAAUGGGGCAGUGCUAGCAUGUUCCAAACUCAUGGAUUCUCGUUCCUGGAGUUUACAAACGAUAACGAUGUACAGUAACACAGCACAUUUUCUGAGUUAUGGUUGGCUACUUCAGGUACUUCUAAGUUGUACUUCUCAAAAACCAACUAUAAGCUUUAGCUAAAAUGUUGCUGCUCCUUUUGUAUGUAUACUGAACAAAAAUAUAAAUGCAACUAUUUCAACAAAAUUACUGAGUUACAAUUCAUAUAAUGAAAUCAGUCAAUUGAAAUAAAAUAAUUAGGCCCUACUCUAUGGUUUUCACAUGACUGGGCAGGGGCGCAUCCAUGGGUGGGCCUGGGAGGGCAUAGGCCCACCCACUGGGGAGCCAAGCCCAGCCAAUCAGAAUGAGUUUUUCUCCACAAAAUGGCUUUAUAACAGACAAAUAUUUCUCAGUUUCAUCAGCUGUCCGGGUGGCUGGUCUCAGACGAUCCCGUAGGUGAAGAAGCCGGAUGUGGAGGGCCUCGGCUGGCGUGGUUACAUGUUGUGAGGCCGGUUGGACGUACUGCCAAAUUCUUCAAACAAUGUUGGAGGCGGCUUAUGGUAGAGGAAUGAACAUUAACUUAUUUGGCAACAGCUCUGGUGUAAAUUCCUGCAGUCAGCAUGCCAAUUGAGACAUUGGUGGCAUUGUUUUGACAAUAUUUUGGUGGCCUUUUAUUGACCCCCCGCACAAGGUGCCCCUGUGUAAUGAUCAUGCCGUUUAAUCAGUGUCUUGAUAUGUCACAAGUGUCAGGUGGCUGGAUUAACUUGGCAAAGGAGAAAUGCUCACUAACAGGGAUGUAAACAAAUGUGUGCACAAAAUUAGAAAUGUUUUUUUUGUAUGGAUCUUUUAUUUCAGCUCAUGAAACAUGGAACCAACACUUUACAUGUUGCGUUUAUAAUUUUGUUCAGUAUAAUUGUCAGAAGAUAACAUAUUGAUUUGGUGUGUGUACUUUUGAUCACCUUGUAGGCUAUUUGAUGUGAACUUGUUUCGUAUGCAGCGUUGUGUGGGUUUGUAUUAUGGUUUCUGUUCUAUAGUGACAGUUUGCCAGUGUUUAAGCACACAGGUUGCCUGUUAUUGCCAAUAAGAAUCAGGUUUUCACAUUAGCUAGUUUUAAUUUAUUUAGCUUGACUAAAUGUGAAUUGACAGGAAUUGUGACUCCAACCCUGACUGUGGUUCAACAUAAUUAUGGAGUUUCUAGACUACCCCCUAUCCUUGAUAUUGUCCAAUAUGUGUAAAUAAUUAUUGACCGCAAAUCCACCACAGAAACCUUGAGCAUGCGUUGAAUCCCAAGACAGGAAUUAAAAGCCAAUCUAUUGUUUGUUCUUGUUAUUAUAUGUAAUGUGGAUCUACAAAUAAACUAUUUUCUUGAAUAAUC